GACGGAGGGGGCAAGCGUUGUCCGGACUCACUGGGCGUAAAGGGCGCGUAGGCGGCCCAUUGCGUCGGUGCUGAAAGCGCGCCGCUUAACGGCGCGAGGCGUGCCGAUACGAAUGGGCUGGAGGUAGGCAGAAGGUGGCGGAAUUCCGGGUGUAGUGGUGAAAUGCGUAGAGAUCCGGAGGAACGCCGGUGGCGCAAGCGGCCACCUGGGCCUGGCCUGACGCUGAGGCGCGACAGCGUGGGGAG
Molecule: ribosomal RNA, 245 nt
Filed under: uncultured bacterium
Lineage: Bacteria
Description: partial 16S ribosomal RNA
Rfam family: Bacterial small subunit ribosomal RNA
Source: RNAcentral